This 253-nucleotide ribosomal RNA is filed under the name uncultured bacterium. RNAcentral's name for it is "partial 16S ribosomal RNA". It matches the Rfam family "Bacterial small subunit ribosomal RNA", at positions 524 to 776 of the family's 1533-position model. The record is from RNAcentral.
UACGUAGGGUGCGAGCGUUAAUCGGAAUUACUGGGCGUAAAGCGCACGUAGGCGGUUUUUUAAGUCAGAUGUGAAAGCCCCGGGCUCAACCUGGGAAUUGCAUUUGAAACUGGGAAACUAGAGUGUGUGAGAGGGGGGUAGAAUUCCAAGUGUAGCGGUGAAAUGCGUAGAGAUUUGGAGGAAUACCAGUGGCGAAGGCGGCCCCCUGGCACAACACUGACGCUCAGGUGCGAAAGCGUGGGGAGCAAACAGG